This 218-nucleotide unclassified non-coding RNA is filed under the name uncultured Tomentella. RNAcentral describes it as "sequence contains ITS2". Lineage: Eukaryota; Fungi; Basidiomycota; Agaricomycetes; Thelephorales; Thelephoraceae. The record is from RNAcentral.
ACACCUCAACUCUCAUGGUUUGCCAUGAUGAGCUUGGACUUUGGGGGUCUUGCUGGCCUGUGGUUGGCUCCUCUCAAAUGAAUCAGCUUUCCAGUGUUUGGUGGCAUCACAGGUGUGAUAACUAUCUACGCUUGUGGUUUUCCACCAGGUAACCUUCAGCAAUGGGGGUUCGCUGGGGCUCAUAAACGUCUCUCCUCAGUGAAGACAGCUUUGUGAAU